AUUGAACGCUGGCGGCAUGCCUUACACAUGCAAGUCGAACGGUAACGGGCCUUCGGGUGCCGACGAGUGGCGAACGGGUGAGUAAUGUAUCGGAACGUACCUUUCAGUGGGGGAUAACGUAGCGAAAGUUACGCUAAUACCGCAUAUUCUGUGAGCAGGAAAGCAGGGGAUCGCAAGACCUUGCGCUGAUUGAGCGGCCGAUAUCAGAUUAGCUAGUUGGUGGGGUAAAAGCUCACCAAGGCGACGAUCUGUAGCUGGUCUGAGAGGACGACCAGCCACACUGGAACUGAGACACGGUCCAGACUCCUACGGGAGGCAGCAGUGGGGAAUUUUGGACAAUGGGCGCAAGCCUGAUCCAGCAAUGCCGCGUGCAGGAUGAAGGCCUUCGGGUUGUAAACUGCUUUUGUACGGAACGAAACGGUGAGCUCUAAUAAAGCUUGCUAAUGACGGUACCGUAAGAAUAAGCACCGGCUAACUACGUG
RNAcentral lists this ribosomal RNA (482 nucleotides) under uncultured bacterium. Its description in RNAcentral is "bacterial SSU rRNA". It matches the Rfam family "Bacterial small subunit ribosomal RNA", at positions 30 to 507 of the family's 1533-position model. The record is from RNAcentral.